Molecule: long non-coding RNA, 88 nt
Organism: Rhagoletis zephyria (snowberry fruit fly)
Lineage: Eukaryota; Metazoa; Arthropoda; Insecta; Diptera; Tephritidae
Source: RefSeq, a predicted model, not a curated record
ACAUAUAUUUUGAAAGCCGUCUUUUUCUGUUCACAAAGAUCGAGAUCGGCUGUACCGAUUUUUUGGAAAUUUCGGACACCUACAGCAG